RNAcentral lists this ribosomal RNA (500 nucleotides) under uncultured bacterium. RNAcentral's name for it is "partial 16S ribosomal RNA". It matches the Rfam family "Bacterial small subunit ribosomal RNA", at positions 30 to 523 of the family's 1533-position model. The record is from RNAcentral.
AUUGAACGCUGGCGGCAUGCCUUACACAUGCAAGUCGAACGGCAGCACGGGAGCAAUCCUGGUGGCGAGUGGCGAACGGGUGAGUAAUAUAUCGGAACGUGCCCAGUCGUGGGGGAUAACGCAGCGAAAGCUGUGCUAAUACCGCAUACGAUCUCUGGAUGAAAGCGGGGGACCGGAAGGCCUCGCGCGAUUGGAGCGGCCGAUAUCAGAUUAGCUAGUUGGUGGGGUAAAGGCCCACCAAGGCGACGAUCUGUAGCUGGUCUGAGAGGACGACCAGCCACACUGGAACUGAGACACGGUCCAGACUCCUACGGGAGGAAGCAGUGGGGAAUUUUGGACAAUGGGCGCAAGCCUGAUCCAGCAAUGCCGCGUGCAGGAUGAAGGCCUUCGGGUUGUAAACUGCUUUUGUACGGAACGAAACGGCGAGCUCUAAUAAAGUUUGCUAAUGACGGUACCGUAAGAAUAAGCACCGGCUAACUACGUGCCAGCCGCCGCAGUAA